This 497-nucleotide ribosomal RNA is filed under the name uncultured bacterium. Its description in RNAcentral is "partial 16S ribosomal RNA". It matches the Rfam family "Bacterial small subunit ribosomal RNA", at positions 28 to 507 of the family's 1533-position model. The record is from RNAcentral.
GAUGUACGCUGGCGGCGUGCCUAAUACAUGCAAGUCGAGCGAACAGACGAGGAGCUUGCUCCUCUGACGUUAGCGGCGGACGGGUGAGUAACACGUGGAUAACCUACCUAUAAGACUGGGAUAACUUCGGGAAACCGGAGCUAAUACCGGAUAACAUGUUGAACCGCAUGGUUCAACAGUGAAAGACGGUUUUGCUGUCACUUAUAGAUGGAUCCGCGUCGCAUUAGCUAGUUGGUAAGGUAACGGCUUACCAAGGCAACGAUGCGUAGCCGACCUGAGAGGGUGAUCGGCCACACUGGAACUGAGACACGGUCCAGACUCCUACGGGAGGCAGCAGUAGGGAAUCUUCCGCAAUGGGCGAAAGCCUGACGGAGCAACGCCGCGUGAGUGAAGAAGGUCUUCGGAUCGUAAAACUCUGUUAUUAGGGAAGAACAAAUGUGUAAGUAACUAUGCACGUCUUGACGGUACCUAAUCAGAAAGCCACGGCUAACUACGUG